ACAGAGGUGCCACAUCGCUGUCCUCAUCUCGUGUUGUGAUGUGUGGUGUAAAGCCCCCGCAGAGAGCGCACCUCUUGUUUCUUUUUAACAUCGUUUGGUUGGGCACUCUAGUGAGACUGCCGGUGACAAACCGGAGGAAGGUGGGGAUGACGUCAAGUCCUCAUGGCCUUAUGGGUAGGGCUUCACACGUCAUACAAUGGUCGGUACAGAGGGUUCCAAGCCGCGAGGUGGAGCCAAUCCCUUAAAGCCGAUCGUAGUCCGGAUCGUAGUCUGCAACUCCGGCUGCGUGAAGUCGGAAUCGCUAGUA
Molecule: ribosomal RNA, 307 nt
Filed under: uncultured bacterium
Lineage: Bacteria
Description: bacterial SSU rRNA
Rfam family: Bacterial small subunit ribosomal RNA
Source: RNAcentral